Molecule: ribosomal RNA, 324 nt
Filed under: uncultured eukaryote
Lineage: Eukaryota
Description: partial 18S ribosomal RNA
Rfam family: Eukaryotic small subunit ribosomal RNA
Source: RNAcentral
CCCUUAGAUGUUCUGGGCUGCACGCGCGCUACACUGAUGCGCUCAACGAGUUUACGACCUUGCCCGGAAGGGUUGGGUAAUCUUUUUAAAACGCAUCGUGAUGGGGAUAGAUUAUUGCAAUUAUUAGUCUUGAACGAGGAAUUCCUAGUAAGCACAAGUCAUCAGCUUGUGUUGAUUACGUCCCUGCCCUUUGUACACACCGCCCGUCGCUCCUACCGAUUGAAUGUUCCGGUGAGCUCUUCGGACUGCGCGGUCUGCAGUUUCUGCGUUCCGUGCGGAAAGUUGCGCAAACCUUAACAUUUAGAGGAAGGAGAAGUCGUAACA